Molecule: transfer RNA, 86 nt
Filed under: Kiritimatiellia bacterium
Lineage: Bacteria; Pseudomonadati; Kiritimatiellota; Kiritimatiellia
Description: Kiritimatiellae bacterium (gut metagenome) tRNA-Leu
Rfam family: tRNA
About the family: Transfer RNA (tRNA) molecules are approximately 80 nucleotides in length. Their secondary structure includes four short double-helical elements and three loops (D, anti-codon, and T loops).
Source: RNAcentral
GCCAGGGUGGCGAAAUGGCAGACGCAGCAGACUCAAAAUCUGCCGCCCGCGAGGGUGUGAGGGUUCGACUCCCUCUCCUGGCACCA